GUGGAGGAGUCUGAAUGGUAGAUCCAGGGUUAGGUAUAGUAGUGUAGUAUUGUGGAGGAGUCUGAAUGGUAGACCCAGGGUUAGGUAUAGUAGUGUAGUAUUGUGGAGGAGUCUGAAUGGUAGACCCAGGGUUAGGUAUAGUAGUGUAGUAUUGUGGAGGAGUCUGAAUGGUAGACCCAGGGUUAGGUAUAGUAGUGUAGUAUUGUGGAGGAGUCUGAAUGGUAGACCCAGGGUUAGGUAUAGUAGUGUAGUAUUGUGGAGGAGUCUGAAUGGUAGAUCCAGGGUUAGGUAUGGUAGUGUAGUAUUGUGGAGGAGUCUGAAUGGUAGAUCCAGGGUUAGGUAUAGUAGUGUAGUAUUGUGGAGGAGUCUGAAUGGUAGAUCGAGGGUUAGGUAUAGUGUACGUGUG
This is a long non-coding RNA of Oncorhynchus keta (chum salmon), 406 nucleotides long. RefSeq lists it as uncharacterized. The transcript is spliced from 3 exons. NCBI's taxonomy places the organism in Eukaryota, Metazoa, Chordata, Actinopteri, Salmoniformes, Salmonidae. The record is from RefSeq and is a predicted model, not a curated record.